UUGAUGACUAGAGUUUGUGGUGGUCGAAAAAUAAUGGGUAUGGUUGGUUGUUUGGGUUGCUAUAUAUUGAAGGUUAGGAAUGGUCAGUGCCAAAUUUGGUGCUCUUUGGGUGAAGCUGGAGUUUGUUGCACACAAGUGCUUACGCUGUUUGGUAGUUCAGAGAGGGGCUGUGGUGAACAGGGAGAGGUUUCGGUGCUUGUGGAGGAUUUUGGUUCUUGGGAGUGUUGGGAUUGUAUGGCUGGAUUGGAGGCAAGGGCGGUCAGGGUCAAUUUUUGCGUGUUCGAUAGGUGUUAGAAAUGGUUGGGGGUGUAUUUCGAGUAAAGGCUGUGUGGUUGAGGUUCGUCAAUGGUGAUUGAGGCUAGGAAGACCUUUUUUGUUUGUGUGAAUUCUCCUCCAUGCAUCCUUUUUCUCUGACUGUCUUUUUUAUUUUUAUAGAUUGAGAGCUUAUAUGAAAGGAGUAAUGCAUUCAACUUUUUUGGAAUCUUCUUGCAGCAUUUUCUGUUGAUUUCUGGGGCUCUGCAUUGUUCUUGGUCCAAGAGCUAAAAAAAGUUUCUAGGUUUGUGUUAAAUUGCCUGAGUUUAAAAAAACAGUGAAAUUAGUGAGCUGAAAAUAGGUUUGGUAAAAUGGUUAAUUUUUGGAGAACGGAAAAGUGAGGGCAGACUGGUGCUAACCUUC
This 675-nucleotide long non-coding RNA is filed under the name Durio zibethinus. RNAcentral's name for it is "long non-coding RNA (DZIB_LNC001772)". Lineage: Eukaryota; Viridiplantae; Streptophyta; Magnoliopsida; Malvales; Malvaceae. The record is from RNAcentral.